CCCGGUCGCGGACACCAGAGAUGGAGUCCUUCAGUUCGGCUGGACCGGAGACAGGUGCUGCAUGGCUGUCGUCAGCUCGUGUCGCGAGAUGUUGGGUUAAGUCCCGCAACGAGCGCAACCCUCGCCUUUAGUUGCCAUCAUUUAGUUGGGCACUCUAAAGGGACUGCCGGUGAUAAGCCGGAGGAAGGUGGGGAUGACGUCAAGUCCUCAUGGCCCUUACGGGUUGGGCUACACACGUGCUACAAUGGCGGUGACAGUGGGCAGCUACUUCGCAAGGAGAAGCUAAUCCCAAAAAGCCGUCUCAGUUCAGAUUGCACUCUGCAACUCGGGUGCAUGAAGUUGGAAUCGCUAGUAAUCGCUAAUCAGCAGGUAGCGGUGAAUACGUUCCCGGGCCUUGUACACACCGCCCGUCACACCAUGGGAGUUGGUCUUACCUGAAGACGGUGUGCUAACCAGCAAUGGAGGCAGCCGGCCACGGUAAGGUCAGCGACUGGGGUGAAGUCGUAACAAGGUAGGCGUAGAUGA
This 525-nucleotide ribosomal RNA is filed under the name uncultured bacterium. Its description in RNAcentral is "bacterial SSU rRNA". It matches the Rfam family "Bacterial small subunit ribosomal RNA", at positions 988 to 1509 of the family's 1533-position model. The record is from RNAcentral.